This is a long non-coding RNA of Sinocyclocheilus grahami, 927 nucleotides long. RefSeq lists it as uncharacterized. NCBI's taxonomy places the organism in Eukaryota, Metazoa, Chordata, Actinopteri, Cypriniformes, Cyprinidae. The record is from RefSeq and is a predicted model, not a curated record. The transcript has 3 exons.
AAAUGUCGGCUUACAUACAGAUCCACAAGGUCCUGUCAGCUCUGUCUGGAAUGCAUUUGUCAUCAAAAGGUCUUUCUCCAGCCAACAAUCUUGUGGCACUGGAGGUCUGAACAAAAUAAAAUUUUGGAGAGGGUAAGGUGUUCUGGAAAUGCUGUUGUCUUGGAUGGUGACAUGAGAGCUGAUUCAACAGGUGUAAUGUGUUUAUGGAGGAAUCACAGCAGUGGGAGGAUCCUCUGAUGCAGGUUGAGAGAGGAGCUCUGGGACUGAAGCAGCCUUGAACACCAGCUCUGGCUGAGGCUACGACGGCAAACACUGGAACGGCCUUGACUGGAACUACUUUGCUGUUCUUUCCCAUCAUGAGAGGAACCUUUGUAGUGGACAGGACGGGCGUCAGUGUGACCCGGUCAAUCAUGUCAGAAACCUCUUCAGGGUUUGCAACGGCAGCAGAAAACCUCAGGCCGGGACAAGAAGCUCUGGAAAGGUACCCUGUGGAGUGACCUCUCUGAUCUCAGCAGAUUCUGGAGCAGCAGCAUUCACAUUGUUUUCUAAAGCGGCCUUGAUUUCUUUGGGACUCAUUUGUCCGUGGCAAGAACUUUUGGGUCAGACACAACCGAGGCCUGCCAGCCCCGCAAGACGCUAAAGCUGGAGAGAUGAAGGGGUCACCUGUCUCAGUCCUCCAGACACAAGACUGACCCUCUUCACCAGGACCUGAAACACAAUUAGAAAUUAUACAAAUUACACAAACAUACUUCAUAAGGUAUAAAAAUACAUCAUGUGCAGUGUAUAUGGAUUGACUAUGUAACAGUUGCAGCAGGGAUUCUGAUCACAUCAAAUCAACAAAAAGACAAAUACAAACAAAUCAUUUUAGCUUGUGUUAGACUUACCUUGAACCAGGCAUGGGAGAGCAUCUCCUCCAGAUGAGCCCUC